Molecule: long non-coding RNA, 2192 nt
Organism: Pygocentrus nattereri (red-bellied piranha)
Lineage: Eukaryota; Metazoa; Chordata; Actinopteri; Characiformes; Serrasalmidae
Exons: 4
Source: RefSeq, a predicted model, not a curated record
CUUCAUGAGUGAUGCGGAUUCGAGGACCAAUCACGUGGCUGCGUUCUGGACCAUGUUGUGAACGUGAAGUAGUGCAGAGGCGAAGGGCCUUCCCCGCCCGCGGAGGGAUACACUCAGAAACAGCGCCGCGGUUCACCCCGCCUCCUAGCGGCGCUUCACAGACACAAAGCGCGAGAAGCGAGUCUCACGCUGUGCUGAAGCUCAGGAGUCUGCGCCGCGUAAUGUAGUCCGUCUACACGUCACUCCCCAGCGAGGAGACCAGGUCCAGCAGGUCCAGGACGGGCUCGCCAGUCCCUUUUACUGGCCUUCUGAAUAAUAAUGGGACAAAGGAAAAGCACCUAACGCCAGAAGGACCAUCGGUCACAGGCAGAAACGUUUUCAGCAGGCCAGGUGCUGACAGCCGCCAGGACGAGGGAAGACCCAGCGGUCUGGUACAUGUUCAGGACAAAGACGGUGUGUCCCUGGAGGUGGGAUACCACAAGUCCUGUUACAGACAGGACACCAGGUUCUUGUCCAAGUCCACUGCAACAGUUACUGGGACCCCAGAAGAAGAACAGCAAGUUGUUAUAUUUCAUAUUACAUCAGCUGAUAAUUCCCUCCCAGUGCGCAGCAUUUCAGGAGGGAAGCAUUGACCUUCUGCAUGUCUGUUUAUUGCCUGUGGACACAGUCGUGACUUGCCCAUUUAGCGAGAGCUGGAAAUAUUUAUGGGAAGAAAUGAGCCAACCUAUGAUGCCGGCUACAAGAUUUUCUGAGGAAAAGUCAUCUGCCGCAGAAUAAAGAAGGAUCUUCAUAAAUCUGGCAGGAUAAAUUGAACAGGAGCUUUGCCCGCGACUUCCCCCAGCUGGCGUUUUACUAUCCCGGCAAGCGCAACAUGUGUCCGAUGGUUUUUGUUGAGACAUCAUCUGCACAUACGUUGAUAGACAGGCUACCUCACCUGUUAGGCUCAGGAAUGCCAACUGAGGUAAGCCAAACUGAAAGUGACUGUGAAAAAAACCCCAAGGUCAAGUUCAGAGACCUCAUUCUAUACUACAGAGGACACAAGGACACUUUAUAGUGCAGCACUGGUUUUAAAGAAGCUUUUGCGUGACGCUUCUGGGACGACAUGCCCACAGCCACCCACGUCAGAUGACUUUAAUGUAACUGAAGCAGAAUCUGUCCUUACUCGAAUUAUACAGUCUGAUUUCCUGGAUUGUGGGUGCAACUGAGGAACCAGUGCUGGCCGGCUCUGUUGAUGUUCCAGAUGAUUUGAACCUAAAAGUGAUGUCCAUUUGGCAAGACCUUGAGUACCUUGCAUCUGUUCACCAUUUAACAGGUUCAUCACACAUCGUGUCCCUUCUUAAUAGACUAGGACAUUGUGCAUCGUGGGACACAGUUGUCAGUCUAGACACUAGCCUUGCCCGACUUCAGCUAGUAGAAGGCAGAGACAAAAUACCAAAAGGAUUCUCAAAGAAAGCUCCUACAUUACUUAUGUGGGACAGCAUUGACUUUGGGGAAGAGACACUGUCAGGUCGUGGAACUACUCAUUGUGUUUGUGCUGCAAGGUUCUGUAAUUGAAGCUGUGUCAACAACAAACAGACGGCCACUACAGAAGGAAAGGAGGUUUCUUCAUUGAAACCAGUACCACCAGUUCAAAAGACAAGGGCCACAGAACUUGUUUCAUCAUGAAAUUAUUCCAUUACAAAUUAUUCCAUUUCUGAGUUAUGUAGAUGCCAAAAUUGAGAAAAUUAGUUUCAGAAGAAAUGCAAAAUGCUACAUGGGAUGCCGACUCUGCUGACAGUGAAGUGGAUGAAUAAUAGCACUGAGUAAGAGAAGAACUUUGGAGUGGAGAUGGACUGCACCAACACAUGCUGCUGAUGAGGGUGUUUUGGAUGGUUGAAUGUGUUGGAUCUGGGAUUGUGGAACACCUGCAUGCACCAGCUGUAAUGUAUUCAAUGCUAGAAUGAACCAUGCUGUGACCUUAACGCAUGAUUCUAUACUGUUUUAACAGAUCUUGAGCUGUAUUGCAUUUAUUGUGGAAUUUUCUUCAUUAUUUAAAACUAAAGGGGUGCAGUAACAUUUUGAUUCAUUUCAGCCCACUUGGCCCCAAAUCUGUGUCGGGACCAAAGAGCUCCCCGUCCUCCGCACCGAAGUUGCCGAAUAAUGUGAAAAGGCGUUACUAAUGAAUUAAAGUUACAUCAAAGUUUUACUUUUAA